Molecule: ribosomal RNA, 486 nt
Filed under: Eucalymnatus tessellatus
Lineage: Eukaryota; Metazoa; Arthropoda; Insecta; Hemiptera; Coccidae
Description: SSU rRNA
Rfam family: Eukaryotic small subunit ribosomal RNA
Source: RNAcentral
AUGCAUGUCUCAGUACAAGCCGUCCUGUACGGUGAAACCGCGAAAGGCUCAUUAAAUCAGUUAUGGUUCCUUAGAUCGUACCCACGUUACAUGGAUAACUGUGGUAAUUCUAGAGCUAAUACAUGCCGACAGAGUUCCGACCAGCGCGUCGACGUUCGGCGGCUCGUCCGUCGUCGUCGGCCGUUCGGAAGGAGCGCUUUUAUUAGAUCAAAACCGGCCAAGCGUUUCGAACGCGCUUCGCGCGCGUUCGGGCGUAAGUGGCCCGCGCAAAGACUUGACGACUCUGAAUAACUUCGAGCUGAUCGCACGGUCCUAGUACCGGCGACGUAUCUUUCAAAUGUCUGCCUUAUCAACUGUCGACGGUAGGUUCUACGCCUACCGUGGUGGUAACGGGUAACGGGGAAUCAGGGUUCGAUUCCGGAGAGGGAGCCUGAGAAACGGCUACCACAUCCAAGGAAGGCAGCAGGCGCGUAAAUUAUCCACUCC